This is a non-coding RNA of Ictidomys tridecemlineatus (thirteen-lined ground squirrel), 72 nucleotides long. NCBI's taxonomy places the organism in Eukaryota, Metazoa, Chordata, Mammalia, Rodentia, Sciuridae. The record is from Rfam.
GGGGGUAUAGCUCAGUGGUAGAACACUUGUCUAGCAUACACAGGGCCUUGGGUUCAAUCUUCAGUACCCCUC